Molecule: ribosomal RNA, 694 nt
Filed under: uncultured bacterium
Lineage: Bacteria
Description: bacterial SSU rRNA
Rfam family: Bacterial small subunit ribosomal RNA
Source: RNAcentral
AACGCUAGCUACAGGCUUAACACAUGCAAGUCGAGGGGCAGCAUGAACUUAGCUUGCUAAGUUUGAUGGCGACCGGCGCACGGGUGAGUAACGCGUAUCCAACCUUCCGCUUACUCGGGAAUAGCCUUUCGAAAGAAAGAUUAAUACCCGAUGGUAUCUUAAGCGCACAUGCAAAUAAGAUUAAAGAUUUAUCGGUAAGCGAUGGGGAUGCGUUCCAUUAGAUAGUAGGCGGGGUAACGGCCCACCUAGUCGACGAUGGAUAGGGGUUCUGAGAGGAAGGUCCCCCACAUUGGAACUGAGACACGGUCCAAACUCCUACGGGAGGCAGCAGUGAGGAAUAUUGGUCAAUGGACGAGAGUCUGAACCAGCCAAGUAGCGUGAAGGAUGAAGGUCCUACGGAUUGUAAACUUCUUUUAUAAGGGAAUAAAACCUCCCACGUGUGGGAGCUUGUAUGUACCUUAUGAAUAAGCAUCGGCUAACUCCGUGCCAGCAGCCGCGGUAAUACGGAGGAUGCGAGCGUUAUCCGGAUUUAUUGGGUUUAAAGGGAGCGCAGACGGGUCGUUAAGUCAGCUGUGAAAGUUUGGGGCUCAACCUUAAAAUUGCAGUUGAUACUGGCGUCCUUGAGUGCGGUUGAGGUGUGCGGAAUUCGUGGUGUAGCGGUGAAAUGCUUAGAUAUCACGAAGAACUCCGAUUG